RNAcentral lists this long non-coding RNA (1255 nucleotides) under Rhinolophus ferrumequinum (greater horseshoe bat). RNAcentral describes it as "lncRNA (ENSRFEG00010016702.1)". Lineage: Eukaryota; Metazoa; Chordata; Mammalia; Chiroptera; Rhinolophidae. The record is from RNAcentral.
CUUGGCAGAGUCGCGGCUUCCUGGUCCCUGGAGAAGCGUAGGAGAAAAGGGUUGCUUCGGAUUCCAGAAGGAAAGGGGGAAGUGAGGCGCGACCGGAACCUGCCCGGUUGAGGAACUGCGGCCCAUCCGGCCCCCAGACCCGCAGAACCUCACUCCCUCCGACCCCGCCGAGGGCCACCAGCCCCAAGCAACUAGAUGAGUGACAAGGCAGAGGGAGAAAGGCCGUGUGGCCUGGGUGAGCGUGGAGGUCUCUCAUGGUGGACCCCAGCUCCGAAAUUUCACCCAAAGUGGGACACAAGUCCAGGACCCUGAGGAUGAGACCCUGCCCUCCCCAAACCGGCCUGCCAGGGCGAUCCUCAGUCAUCUCGGGGUUCUGCACGGACCCCGGGGCUCCUGUCCUCAAACGAGCCCCCUCUUGGCCUGGCCUCGACCCCAGAAGACCCUCGCAGUUGUGGAAUCUGGACCCCCCCCAUUCAGAGGCUCUCCCGAGCUGCUGGAGCCACAAAGACUCACGACCGACAGCUGACCGCGGCCUGGCGGCGCUCUCGCUCCCAACGAAUUGAAUGCUCCAAGGUCGGGGAUGCAGCGUGCCCAGGAUCCAGCGCACGGACCUACCAGUUGUAGAACAGGGAAAUUCUAGACAACUUCAACUAGUUUGUGGAGUAACACCACUCUGUAGUGGCCCGGCUAGCUCAGUCAGUGGAGCAUGAGAUUCUUAAUCUCCACGUUGGGCGUUACUUCUGUCCCGAUGACCUUACAACUAAGUAGAGGUGAAUGGGUCCAUAUAAAUUAAAUCUCUUCCGAAGAAGAAUCUGUUGCUGGUCCAGGGAGGCCCGCACGCGGGAGCUGGCCUCCAGUCUCACCAGAGCAACUUGCUUUUGUCUCAUUAGUGUUUUACUAUAUAUAUUUUGUAAUUUUAAAAGUUGAAAUUAACACAGCAUUUCCAGAUACAGCGCACAGAGCGAAGGGGACUUUUGGGGAAGGGAACACUCUAAGGAAGUGGGAGAAGCAGGAUAAGGCAGGUGCACCGGUUAUUAAACUCUUACCUCGCUGCUUCAAACUCACCCUUCGAGGAGGCCCUGCUUCGUGAGACUGCUUUGCCAGUUGAUCCCUCUGGGUUUUGCGGAGAGGAGGAAUUAGAGAUACUGAAAGGAUACAGGAGGAAAAAGGAACUCACUACUUCCUGUUCCCUGUUCCUACUGGCCCUCCCUUACUUUUUUAUCCAUGCAGCAACAACUUAUUCCAGAAAUCGCAG